GCUCACUCGUAGGGGUCCGGACC
RNAcentral lists this small RNA (23 nucleotides) under Arabidopsis thaliana (thale cress). The record is from RNAcentral. Lineage: Eukaryota; Viridiplantae; Streptophyta; Magnoliopsida; Brassicales; Brassicaceae.